CUCGUGUGGUACCAUUUACAGAUAUAGAGACUAAUGCAGGUAUCACCCCUUCUUGUAGGACCAUUUGACUGCACUUCUCACUGCCAUUGCACAAAACAUAAAGGCAUGAGGCGGCUUGCUCCUGCUCAAUAGGCUCACCCGUGUCCAAUAUUGUUGCUAGCGCACCAAUAAGGCCAGGGGCUGCUACCAUUUCAUCUUUUCCUGAUUUAUUUGUAGCUAAAUUUAUCAACACUGCUAUGGAUUUUUCUGUCCAUGGAAGAUCACCAGGGGCUGCAAGAAGGGAUUGGAGGCCACUGAUGAUACCAGCUGAAAGGAGGUUCAGAAUAUUGGAGGCUUGGGAGGAGAUAUUAUAGAGGGCGUGGAGGGCAUCCAUCUUGCAUUGAGGUUCAGCUUCACCUUGAAGAAUCUGGACUAAACGGAACAGCCUGGCUUGAACCAAUUAUGGACUUAGCAUCUUCAUGGCAGGAGAGAUUCAAAUA
This 479-nucleotide unclassified non-coding RNA is filed under the name Hevea brasiliensis (rubber tree). Lineage: Eukaryota; Viridiplantae; Streptophyta; Magnoliopsida; Malpighiales; Euphorbiaceae. The record is from RNAcentral.